CCUCUCGCGAGAGGUGCGGCCUCUCUUCCUUUUGCUGCGGCCCGGCAAGAUGCCUUCCAGGUUGAGGAAGACCAGGAAACUCAGGGGUCAUGUGAGCCACGGCCAUGGCCGUAUUGGUAAACACAGGAAACAUCCUGGAGGCCGUGGUAAUGCUGGGGGUAUGCACCACCACAGGAUUAAUUUUGA
Non-coding RNA from Pogona vitticeps (central bearded dragon), 186 nucleotides. NCBI's taxonomy places the organism in Eukaryota, Metazoa, Chordata, Lepidosauria, Squamata, Agamidae. The record is from RefSeq and is a predicted model, not a curated record.